Molecule: long non-coding RNA, 1042 nt
Organism: Nerophis ophidion (straightnose pipefish)
Lineage: Eukaryota; Metazoa; Chordata; Actinopteri; Syngnathiformes; Syngnathidae
Exons: 2
Source: RefSeq, a predicted model, not a curated record
GCUCCAAUCACUCUAUCACAAAAAAAUAAGAGUUGUAGAAAUGAUUGACAACUCAAGACAGCCAUGACAUUAUGUUCUUUACAACUUUUGACCAUGACUGUAUGUGCAGCUAAAAAGAAGAAGAUGAAAUGGGCAAAGUGAAAGGAAACAGAGUCAUGGCACUAAUGGGACACUUACCUGACUAAGACACUGGAGGGCUGGUUGCACAUGCGCCUUAAAGCCAAGCUGAACCUGUUUGGAGACUUAGUUUUAGACUAGUCAGGAAGUAGAAGAGCAGAAUUUUGCUUCUUGAUGCUUCUGAUUGAAUUCCCAGCUGAAAAGAUGUGAUAUGAGUGAAGAUGCACCUUCUGGAUGGACUUCCUUCACCAGAGUGAGGUGUCUGCUUAGCAUGAGCAGCGUAACCAGCUCAUGGUGCGUUUUGUGCUCCGACAGCUGGUGACGGUGGUAACGAGCUCUCAGAGAGACGUGAAGGCUAAAGGCUGAGUGACACACAGCAGUCGGCACACAGAUGCUUUGUGCACUGGAACACAGAGAGAUGUCUCCAUCACUGAGGGACCUCAUCACACUUGGACAUUUCUCUGACAUCUGCACAAAUUUGUCACGAUCCGCUACUCUGAUCGUUUAUUGUUUCGGCGUUUAUAUGUUGUUGAUCAUGUUUAGUUCUGGACUCGGCCGAUUCCUGUGUUUGUGCACUUCCUAUUGUAUCUUGUUUCCAUGGUUUCUUAUUUGUCCCAGCUGCUAUGCCUUUGUCGCACAUCUGAUGGCAAUUAUUAUUUGUGUAUUUAGGCCCACCUGAUUCCUUAGUUCGUUCUCGGUCCAUUGUUUGCUAAGGGCAACAGUUACGUAUGUAUUCUCUGCUUAUCUCUGCUUUAGUUGUGCUAAAUUCCGUCUUAGCUUCGCGUGCGUUCGGCACGUCACCGUUUUGGACCCUUUUGUAUCCUAAGUUUAGCGUUAGCUUCCAUGCGUAGGCACGCGCUUUAUUUUGUCCUUUUGUACCAGUGUUAUUUUAUUUUUGUAUUAAAAAUCAAGUUCUUACCCGCAA